GACGAACGCUGGCGGCGUGCCUAAUACAUGCAAGUUGAGCGCUGAAGGUUGGUACUUGUACCCACUGGAUGAGCAGCGAACGGGAGAGUAACGCGUGGGGAAUCUGCCUUUGAGCGGGGGACAACAUUUGGAAACGAAUGCUAAUACCGCAUAAAAACUUUAAACACAAGUUUUAAGUUUGAAAGAUGCAAUUGCAUCACUCAAAGAUGAUCCCGCGUUGUAUUAGCUAGUUAGUGAGGUAAAGGCUCACCAAGGCGAGGAUACAUAGCCGACCUGAGAGGGUGAACGCACACAUUGGGACUGAGACACGGCCCAAACUCCUACGGGAGGCAGCAGUAGGGAAUCUUCGGCAAUGGACGAAAGUCUGACCGAGCAACGCCGCGUGAGUGAAGAAGGUUUUCGGAUCGUAAAACUCUGUUGGUAGAGAAGAACGUUGGUGAGAGUGGAAAGCACAUCAAGGAACGGAAACGACCCAGAAAGGGACGGUGAACUACGU
Molecule: ribosomal RNA, 496 nt
Filed under: uncultured bacterium
Lineage: Bacteria
Description: partial 16S ribosomal RNA
Rfam family: Bacterial small subunit ribosomal RNA
Source: RNAcentral